UGAAACCACGUGCAUAUGAGAUGGAUUGAGGAGGCUUAGUUUUUGUUGAGCAAAACCCAAACCAGCUCUGAUUUUCAGACAAUCAACAUUUUGGGACAAAAUGUCCCUGUUCUAGUGAGCAUAAUUUUGGCAAUCUAAAAAAUUCAUUGCCAAAACACUGAAAUCAAUGGUUUCACAUUAACAGCAGGAGGCAAAAUUUCUGGUGGCCUAGAUGGAAGAGGUGAAACUCCAUCCUGCAGCCUCUACAAGCAACCUUGGACCUCCUCUGAAUGGCACAGAUCACAACCUGCCAAGCGCCACAUCAGGAAAUAAAAUUUGGCCAGCUAAUUUUCUUAUUAGGGCUGGAUUUCCCUGUUGGACUUGCUGAGUCUCUACUGAUAGUCAACUGAGAAGACAACCAUACGUAAAGAUGCCAUUUAAGAUGCACCUCUUCUGCUUCCCAGCUAUUUGAGGAAGCUGCUGUUUUCUCUGUUAAUUGUUUUUAGCAUUUGAACUGCCUAAUCACACACAAGCCUAAAGGUCUGGAAGGAUUCAAAUGGAAAUUCCAGCCAUUUUAAUAUUUCUUGAAUUUCUUGUCAGCAGAAUAACGGCCCUGAAACUUUUCCUACCACAUUUGAAAUAAAAAUGGUAUUUAGUAGAAUUGCUGAGAAAUAAAGAAUUCCUUCAUUCUGCACU
Long non-coding RNA from Mauremys mutica (yellowpond turtle), 675 nucleotides. RefSeq lists it as uncharacterized. The record is from RefSeq and is a predicted model, not a curated record. The transcript is spliced from 4 exons. NCBI's taxonomy places the organism in Eukaryota, Metazoa, Chordata, Testudines, Geoemydidae.